RNAcentral lists this transfer RNA (94 nucleotides) under Ipomoea nil (Japanese morning glory). It matches the Rfam family "tRNA". From Rfam's summary of the family: Transfer RNA (tRNA) molecules are approximately 80 nucleotides in length. The record is from Rfam by way of RNAcentral. Lineage: Eukaryota; Viridiplantae; Streptophyta; Magnoliopsida; Solanales; Convolvulaceae.
AUGACCUUAGCUCAGUUGGUAGAGUGGUGGACUGUAGUUGGACUAAUCUAAAUUGGAAAUCCAUUAGUCGCUGGUUUGAUUCCGGCAGGUUGGA